CCUACGGGAGGCAGCAGUGGGGAAUAUUGCACAAUGGGGGGAACCCUGAUGCAGCGACGCCGCGUGAAGGAAGAAGUAUUUCGGUAUGUAAACUUCUAUCAGCGGGGAAGAAAAUGACGGUACCUGACUAAGAAGCCCCGGCUAACUACGUGCCAGCAGCCGCGGUAAUACGUAGGGGGCAAGCGUUAUCCGGAUUUACUGGGUGUAAAGGGAGCGUAGACGGCAGCGCAAGUCUGAAGUGAAAUGCCGGGGCUUAACCCCGGAACUGCUUUGGAAACUGUGCAGCUAGAGUGCAGGAGAGGUAAGUGGAAUUCCUAGUGUAGCGGUGAAAUGCGUAGAUAUUAGGAGGAACACCAGUGGCGAAGGCGGCUUACUGGACUGUAACUGACGUUGAGGCUCGAAAGCGUGGGGAGCAAACAGGAUUAGAUACCCGAGUAGUC
This 440-nucleotide ribosomal RNA is filed under the name uncultured bacterium. Its description in RNAcentral is "partial 16S ribosomal RNA". It matches the Rfam family "Bacterial small subunit ribosomal RNA", at positions 338 to 795 of the family's 1533-position model. The record is from RNAcentral.